CGUCUAUAUACGUAUAGCAUAUCAAUAAGCGGAGGAAAAGAAACUAACAAGGAUUCCCUUAGUAACGGCGAGUGAAGCGGGAAGAGCUCAAAUUUGAAAUCUUCAAGGUUCUACCUUGACGAAUUGUAGUUUAUAGAAGUGUUUUCUGUUAGUGGAGUUGGCUAAAAGUUCUUUGGAAUAGGACAUCAUAGAGGGUGAGAAUCCCGUAUUUGGUCAUUCCUCCUAGCGUUGUGAUACACUUUCAACGAGUCGGAUUGUUUGGGAAUGCAGUCCAAAAUGGGUGGUAAAUUUCAUCUAAAGCUAAAUAUUGGCGAGAGACCGAUAGCGAACAAGUACCGUGAGGGAAAGAUGAAAAGAACUUUGAAAAGAGAGUUAAACAGUACGUGAAAUUGUCAAAAGGGAAGCGUUUGACACCAGUGUUGUUUUUCCGAAAAUCAAUUACGAAUGUUUUAUUUUUGAGGAGUUAUGACUUCAUCGGCUUGCUCCUUUCUUUAUGAAACUUUCUUAAUGCACCUUUCGGUUAACUAAGUCAACAUCAAUUUCUUUUGUUGUAAAAGGGUAUGAGGAAGGUGGCUUUCUUUUCGGAGAAAGUGUUUAUAGCCUUGUGCCUCUGCAAUCGGAGAGAUUGAGGGUCUGCAGCGUAGAUCCUUCGGGGUUAGAUACACUUUGUGCUAAGUUAUAGCUUUUCAUAGACAACUUGUUGACUAUGUUUAGUCAUUGUAGGCUUACUCGCUUAUGCUAUUUUACCUACGCUUAGGAUGUUGACUGAUAUGUAGUCGUA
Molecule: ribosomal RNA, 781 nt
Filed under: uncultured Neocallimastigales
Lineage: Eukaryota; Fungi; Neocallimastigomycota; Neocallimastigomycetes; Neocallimastigales
Description: partial large subunit ribosomal RNA
Rfam family: Eukaryotic large subunit ribosomal RNA
Source: RNAcentral